Molecule: long non-coding RNA, 1748 nt
Organism: Cygnus olor (mute swan)
Lineage: Eukaryota; Metazoa; Chordata; Aves; Anseriformes; Anatidae
Exons: 2
Source: RefSeq, a predicted model, not a curated record
UGCCAUUGUCGUCAGAAUCCUCACUGCUGCUAGGAAGCCGACGUCGUUUCAUGAUCUCCACGGGAAACAGCAGGCAGCCUGCAAAGCAAUGAGACAGCACUUAACCCAGGAUAAUAAUACACAGUCAUCAAGUUGUGUUUCUGAUGGCAUUCAAGGAUUUACAGCACACAAAGGAAAACAAACAACUUUAAACAGCAUCUGAAAUACGAACAGAGAGAAUGGUAUUCACCCCUAUCAUUUGAAGCUCAGCUAGUCAGUCUCCAGCAGCUUUCCAGGAAGCAAGGGAAGGCAGAAGAGCAGCUACUUCCCCGAAGUACAGAACAUCAGCUACGGCAGUUAGUUUACCUGUCCGCUCUAGUCAGGUUGCUGAAGUUGGCCACACCAAAAAGCCUGUCCCCUCAAAAAUGACACUAAAGGAACUACACAAUCCAGUGGAGCUUAUGUGACAUUCUUUUACAGAUGCACAUGAAAGAGGAGUUGUGAUCCAGAGAUCUCAUGUUCCCUUUGAACCUCAGUUUACAGGGAGCUAAAUCACCAAGUGGCACUUGGCUGCUUAGAGCAAGCAUCAAACCUCAUACGAUUAACCCCUUAAAAGUUUUGUUACUAGAAGUGAUAAUCAGCCUUUUUGCUUCUAAACUAUUUUUAAACCAUUCCUUUUAAGCAACACCCACCAGAUGUUCGCACCCAAAGUUCAGAAUAUAUGUUAUAAAGGUAACACUGGAACAGUCCAUACGAAUUACAGCCACACAACCUGAAAUGCUGCUGCUCAUAAGGGUACCACAGUGCCUCUGCUGCAAAGGCCAUUGGUUUCUGUUAGUUAGCAGUGACCUCCAAGUCACACGAGGACUGCAUUAAAAAUAAACAUGGAUUACUGACGGUGGCGGCUAGGUGCAGACCUUCCCCGUUCAACCACACACACACAGCUUUUGCCAGCAUGUUGAGAAGUUACUGGGAAUUCAAGUAACAUUUUUCUAACCUUGAAAAGAAUAACUGUAGUAACUUAUUCUUCAUGGGACAUCUGUAACUAAAAACAAGAUCUUUUUAUACUGAAAAAGGCAGAAUGGGAAAUCUGUCAAACUUUUCAGUAAACUGCUGAUUUCAUUCUCUUUCCUAAUCUGGGACUUGCGUGCUACUUUUCUUUGAAAUUCUCACCCUUUACAGUCGUGAAACUGCUGGUGUUUUUCACCUGACUAUAUUCUGACAUGCACUUAACAUACUCAGGUGUAAAUAUAGUGCAUCUGAUUCACCUCUGAUCUCAAUAAAACAAUCUGAAACGGAAGCAGGUCAGCCGACUCCAACAGGUCAGAAGUAAAGGCAACUCCUCAGGGCUGACUGUAGCACACCGGGUUUAAUGGUACAAAUUGGCUAUGAUCAUUAUGCGUGCAAGCGAAGAGAAUUCACAUGUGAGCAGGAUCACACAAAAAGGGUGAAACAUUUCAGCCAAGCCUUAGACUCAUUACAAUAAAAACUAUGCAGCGCAGCCUGUGACACUUGCAGGACAGGAAGGGACCACCCAGGCUACUGAGCUCAAUUCCCCAAAAUCGAAGGCAACCACAUAAUUGCUGUUUAGCCCAGGAGUUUCCACCAAACAUUCGCUCCGUCCACACAUGCCGCAGAACUGCUUCUAAACCCUCUUCUCAAAACAAGCACUUCUCUGAGGCAACAGCCAGCCACGCAGCGCCCCUGAACACUGCAUCUUCGAUCACUAACAUGUUCGUUGCUGCUUUUCCCAAACCCACACACCAGCA